This 227-nucleotide non-coding RNA is filed under the name Oryza meridionalis. Its description in RNAcentral is "Bacterial small subunit ribosomal RNA". It matches the Rfam family "Bacterial small subunit ribosomal RNA", at positions 977 to 1209 of the family's 1533-position model. The record is from Rfam by way of RNAcentral. Lineage: Eukaryota; Viridiplantae; Streptophyta; Magnoliopsida; Poales; Poaceae.
GGGCUUGACAUGCCGUGAAUCCUCUUGAAAGAGAGGGGUGCCCUCGGGAACGCGGAUACAGGUGGUGCAUGGCUGUCGUCAGCUCGUGCCGUAAGGUGUUGUGUUAAGUCUCGCAGCCCUUUUCUUUUUCUUAGCUUUAUUUGAAGCGUAGUUUUUCACCUGAAAAAGAAGGCGCCAGCAGGCGUGUGGGAGAGAAAGGAGUUGGGCCAACUUUCGGCCCAACGACC